Molecule: ribosomal RNA, 1258 nt
Filed under: uncultured Chryseobacterium sp.
Lineage: Bacteria; Pseudomonadati; Bacteroidota; Flavobacteriia; Flavobacteriales; Weeksellaceae
Description: bacterial SSU rRNA
Rfam family: Bacterial small subunit ribosomal RNA
Source: RNAcentral
AGCUUGCUCUCUGGGUGGCGAGUGGCGGACGGGUGAGGAAUACAUCGGAAUCUACUCUGUCGUGGGGGAUAACGUAGGGAAACUUACGCUAAUACCGCAUACGACCUACGGGUGAAAGCAGGGGAUCUUCGGACCUUGCGCGAUUGAAUGAGCCGAUGUCGGAUUAGCUAGUUGGCGGGGUAAAGGCCCACCAAGGCGACGAUCCGUAGCUGGUCUGAGAGGAUGAUCAGCCACACUGGAACUGAGACACGGUCCAGACUCCUACGGGAGGCAGCAGUGGGGAAUAUUGGACAAUGGGCGCAAGCCUGAUCCAGCCAUACCGCGUGGGUGAAGAAGGCCUUCGGGUUGUAAAGCCCUUUUGUUGGGAAAGAAAUCCAGCUGGUUAAUACCCGGUUGGGAUGACGGUACCCAAAGAAUAAGCACCGGCUAACUCUGUGCCAGCAGCCGCGGUAAUACAGAGGGUGCGAGCGUUAAUCGGAUUUACUGGGCGUAAAGCGUGCGUAGGCGGCUUUUUAAGUCGGAUGUGAAAUCCCUGAGCUUAACUUAGGAAUUGCAUUCGAUACUGGGAAGCUAGAGUAUGGGAGAGGAUGGUAGAAUUCCAGGUGUAGCGGUGAAAUGCGUAGAGAUCUGGAGGAAUACCGAUGGCGAAGGCAGCCAUCUGGCCUAAUACUGACGCUGAGGUACGAAAGCAUGGGGAGCAAACAGGAUUAGAUACCCUGGUAGUCCAUGCCGUAAACGAUGUCUACUAGCCGUUGGGGCCUUUGAGGCUUUAGUGGCGCAGCUAACGCGAUAAGUAGACCGCCUGGGGAGUACGGUCGCAAGACUAAAACUCAAAUGAAUUGACGGGGGCCCGCACAAGCGGUGGAGCAUGUGGUUUAAUUCGAUGCACCGCGAAGAACCUUACCUGGUCUUGACAUAGUAAGAACUUUCCAGAGAUGGAUUGGUGCCUUCGGGAACUUACAUACAGGUGCUGCAUGGCUGUCGUCAGCUCGUGUCGUGAGAUGUUGGGUUAAGUCCCGCAACGAGCGCAACCCUUUUCCUUAUUUGCCAGCGGGUUAAGCCGGGAACUUUAAGGAUACUGCCAGUGACAAACUGGAGGAAGGCGGGGACGACGUCAAGUCAUCAUGGCCCUUACGACCAGGGCUACACACGUGCUACAAUGGUCGGUACAAAGGGUUGCUACCUAGCGAUAGGAUGCUAAUCUCAAAAAGCCGAUCGUAGUCCGGAUUGGAGUCUGCAACUCGACUCCAUGAAGUCG